GCCCAGGUGGCGGAAUGGUAGACGCGGGGGGCUUAAACCCCCCUGGCACGAAAGUGCUGUAUCGGUUCGAGUCCGAUCCCGGGCA
Molecule: transfer RNA, 85 nt
Filed under: bacterium
Lineage: Bacteria
Also listed under: 3 other names
Description: tRNA-Leu
Rfam family: tRNA
About the family: Transfer RNA (tRNA) molecules are approximately 80 nucleotides in length.
Source: RNAcentral